CGAACGCUGGCGGCAGGCUUAACACAUGCAAGUCGAACGCCCCCUUCGGGGGGAGUGGCAGACGGGUGAGUAACGCGUGGGAACCUACCUAUCAGUACGGAACAGCUCAGGGAAACUUGUGCUAAUACCGUAUACGUCCUUCGGGAGAAAGAUUUAUCGCCGAUAGAUGGGCCCGCGUUAGAUUAGCUAGUUGGUGAGGUAACGGCUCACCAAGGCGACGAUCUAUAGCUGGUCUGAGAGGAUGAUCAGCCACACUGGAACUGAGACACGGUCCAGACUCCUACGGGAGGCAGCAGUGGGGAAUAUUGGACAAUGGGCGCAAGCCUGAUCCAGCCAUGCCGCGUGAGUGAUGAAGGCCCUAGGGUUGUAAAGCUCUUUCAACGGUGAAGAUAAUGACGGUAGCCGUAGAAGAAGCCCCGGCUAACUUCGUGCCAGCAGCCGCGGUAAUACGAAGGGGGCGAGCGUUGUUCGGAAUCACUGGGCGUAAAGCGUACGUAGGCGGAUAGAUUAGUUA
This 514-nucleotide ribosomal RNA is filed under the name uncultured bacterium. RNAcentral's name for it is "bacterial SSU rRNA". It matches the Rfam family "Bacterial small subunit ribosomal RNA", at positions 30 to 590 of the family's 1533-position model. The record is from RNAcentral.